RNAcentral lists this ribosomal RNA (253 nucleotides) under uncultured bacterium. RNAcentral describes it as "partial 16S ribosomal RNA". It matches the Rfam family "Bacterial small subunit ribosomal RNA", at positions 524 to 776 of the family's 1533-position model. The record is from RNAcentral.
UACAGAGGGUGCAAGCGUUGUCCGGAAUCACUGGGCGUAAAGGGCGCGUAGGCGGCCUGGUAAGUAGGGGGUGAAAGAUCAGGGCUUAACCCUGAACCCGCCUUCUAAACUGCCAGGCUCGAGCACAGUAGAGGCAGGUGGAAUUCCACGUGUAGCAGUGAAAUGCGUAGAGAUGUGGAGGAACACCGAUGGCGAAGGCAGCCCCCUGGGUCAACACUGACGCUCAUGCACGAAAGCGUGGGGAGCAAACAGG